GCUCACGGCAACACAGGAUCCUCAACCCACUGAGUGAGGCCAGGGAUUGAACCCGCAACCUCAUCAUUCCUAGUCGGAUUUGUUUCCACUGCGCCACGACGGGAACUCCAGAAACAUUCUUGUUAAAAUCUGUUAAAUCUGGAUAUUCUGGAAAUAUCUAGAUGGCUGUAAGUAUAUAUUUUUAGCUUCUAUGGUGUCAUAAGUCCUGCAUGUUUUGGUGGUGGUUUUACUCUGCACUCCUGACAUAUUCUUUAGGCUGUGAAGGUGAACACUGAGUCAGUGAUACAGAGAAUUCAGUCGCUCCCCUUGGAUGUCUUUCCAACUAACGAAGACGCAGGAUUUCAGCCUGAAUUACCUGGAUCAUGGACUAAAUGGGUCACCCACCUUGAUCAAUGAGUGACUGCCCAGCUUCUCCUUUGGAAUGUUACUGGGAUGCCUGAGAGCUGUGCCCUUUUGCUUCUCAUCCUGUCACCUGACACUGAAGACCCAGGCUGCCCUAUUUCCAAGCAUAAUGCUCUAACUGGGCUUGGCUCUGGGAGAGAAGACCAGGUAAAGGGUAAUCUAGUAGGUGCCAGGAGCCUUGGCACCCAUUCCCAUGCUGCAGGUGUGCAGAAAGCCCCAGCCCUUGAAGGGGGAGGUGGAGGAAUGAAAGGGAGGGUACAGGAGACUUUUUACUGUAGUAUUUGUUUGUAAAAAAAGAUGAACAUUGUGGCAUGACAGGAUAUCAUAGGAGCAUAUUUAAAAUCAUUUUGGCUUACCUGCAACCCCCCACCAGCACUGGUUUGGAUUCGCUCCCUGAGCUCACAGUUGAUGGUUUGUGAGUCCCCAUGGGGCAAGCACUGGGGUUCCUGCCUUGUCCUCCCACCCUCUGCUCCCCCGUUUCCCUGAGUGUCUGGAGGAUGACCAGCCCAUGAUCCUAAGCUGGAAUCCCAAAGCUCAGUCAUUUGCAAACUGCCUGCAUGGUUUUGGACAAAUGCUGGUACCUUCUAGAGUUUCUCAAGAUUUUAAGUCAGGUGGGGAGGGAUCUUGUUUAAAAUGCAGAUUCUGAUUCAGUAGGUGUGAGAGGAACCCAAGAUCUGGUUCAUGAACGUGCUCCCCGGUGAGGCUGGUGCUGCUGGCCCGCUGAUCUCAUUCUGAGUUGCCAGGAUCUCGGACCAUUUCCAGCUUAACGCUUUGCUCUUCAGUCCUCCGUUUUUUAAACCUGCAGUACCUUUAAGGACCUUGAAAAUGAUCACUAUUCAAAUGCAGACAGUGCAAAUGCAGAGUAUGGCUUGUUAACUUCUCAGGAGCUGUGGGCACCUGCUGGCAGGCCCAAGUUGAGCCUUAAUUUCCUUUGUUACGGUGGAGGUUAAUAAGUAUAGAGACUGUUCAGCAUCCUGGCAUCAAAGGGAGACUUUCUCCUUGACUAGGCCAGAGGAUUAAAAGAGAGUUGAAAAGGAGAUGGCUUUCCUCUGCAAGCUUAUUUAACGCUGUAUUCCAAAACUGUCUCCUCUGACACCCCAGGUCACCAGGGAAUCUCACUUUGGGGAACACUGCUUUUAAGUAAUUUGCAGGAAGACAUGCAUGUAUCAGCUGAAACCUAUUAGUGAGAUGGAUGACUCUCUAGAGUUAAAAUGAUUAGAGGGAUGUGUUGCCAUUUUUGCUUACUCUGGGUUCUCUUUCCUAUUGGGGGAAAAAGGGUAACCCCCAUUUCUGAAAUGCUGCUAACCAGGGACCCAGUGAGUAGCGACAUCUUAGGUGUAACAGGGAAAGCACUUUUUGGGAAACUGGAUUUCAGGCGAACAGAAAAUCAACCUUCAAUACUUAGGAAACCUAUCAAAGUAGAUUUCUUCCUCUGCUCCUCCAUCUCCUCUUCCUUCAAGUUACUAUUGAUUAUGUUCCAUUUGGAAUGAGUCCAUUUAUUUGAUGCAUUUUUUAGAAUGGGGUACUUCCGUUAUCCUUUUCUAUUGUAAAAACAAUAAGGUAACAUUAAUAGACCUUUUGUUUUUAAGGAAAAGAAAUUGACUUCAAGUCCAAUAACGUUCAGUGAAAUAAUGUUAAAAGUGGAGACUCUUAGUCAAAUGCCCUGAGACCAGUGAACAAACAGCCUCAAACAAACAACAAGCCUAUUUUAUUUUUUACUUUUUUUCUUUCUUGACUGCACCCAUGGCAUGCAGAAGUUCCCGGGCCAAGGAUUGAAUCCGUGUCACAGCCAGGUCCUUAACCCACUGAGCCACAAGAGAACUCCUCAUUUUAGAGUUUCAGUGGUAAUCACUUACAAGGAUUUGAAUUUAGCCAAAUGUGUCACUUAACUUUGUAAAGGAAACAGGUGCUUGUCUAUCACUAGCUUUGAAGCAUUGCUUCUGACUUUACCAGUAUUCUCCCCAUCCCGGGAUAACAUUUAGAAUAAGUAUUUCAACAUACAGAACAAAUACCUUGUGAAUAAACAUCAAUUUCACACAACCAAAAAAAAAAAAAAAAUCAAUAAAUCUGCUUUAGGCAUUUGGAAAACCCUGUACUUUUAAAGGAAGGAGUUAGAGUGUUAAGUCACUGAAAACCCGACCCCCUCAAACCCAGGCUCUUAGCUUUCAAUGUUUUCCAACAUGACCUUUACUUAGAAAAAUAUAAUUGGGAACUUUCUGAAUACCUGUCUCAUUGUUGGUGCUACUCAUUCAAGGAUGGACAGCAACUGCCCACAUGACAAUUCAUGUGAGAAAUGCUACUUAGUAUUUUUUUUAAAAUCUCAUAAUUGGAGUCCUAGGGAAAGUGGUACUUUUUGGUACCAUUUCUUUUUUACCCUUGUCUAUAGUUUUUGAAGAAUAAAUUGAAUGAAGAGGUGGCUAGAUAUCAUUAUAUCUGGCAUUUUAUUUAUUUUUCUUGAGUCUGAAAGAUUUAAUGAUCCCAAAUAUUCUUACUCUAUGCUUUGAGAGUUUUAAAGUUGCUUUCCAGUGACAGUCUGAAACAACUGCAUAAAAGUUUGAAAGUAAUGUUUUACUCAUCUUUUUUUAAGCAGUAGAAUCAAUAUUUUGGAGAUGAAAGGAUUGGUGUCCCUAAAAAGAGGAUUAAAAUCUUUCAGUUUGUGAAAUACAUAUUCCAUUUAAAAUUGAUAUAUAAAAUCCUUGGACUUCUAAAAAUAUAUGUAUGUUUUCAGUGUCUAUACUUCAUGCAUAUUAAAUAUUGCUUUAUAUCCUUGGACUUUUUUUUGUAAAUAGAUUUGUGCUUUCUUUGAAUAAAGAGAAACUACCUACAUGACCAUAUGACCUCCCAUUUUAUUUGUAGUAAAAGAUUAAAAUUUCCUUAUUAUAGUAUCUAUAAAUAUGCAAACUAAGUGCAACUUUUAUUUUUAAAGUUAAAAAUAAAAAUCAGAGCUCAGUUCCUACGACAAAAGCUGGGGAAAACACUAUUCUUGUUUUUUGGGUUUUUAGAUGAAGACUAGAAAAUAAACUCUUUGAACUAUGAAAUUACUCCAGACUAGCUGGAGGCACCAACGGAUCAUUAAUUACUGGAAAGAAGCUUUUAAAUGCAGUUUUUAAAUUUUAAGCAUCUUUUCUCUUGAAUACCAUACUCCCCUCCUGCCUUUUUUUUUCCUUCCUUCAUUUGUGAAUUUAAUUCCGGAGUUGAGAAGACAGGGCUUUUUGCUUUGGGGGGUGGGGGGUAACUAAAUCUCUUUCUUAUGCUUUAAAAAGUUUAACCUGCUGAUGAAAGCACAGAAGGUUGGAAUUAUUUUGAACAGGAAUUGGCUGUGCAAAUAUUUAAUUGAGUGUUCUUCGGCAAGUCUUUUUAGGGCUCAAGUAUUGGAACCACCCUUUAAUUGGUCUUUUGCAGUCUUGAUUAGCUGAUCUCAAGAUUUAUAUGUUGAAAUGGAUAUUAAAAAUCGGUUAGGCUUCUAGUUUUUACUUUUUUCCCUUUUCCCCUCUUUGAAUAGUGGAAUCCUUUUUUUUUUUUUCCUUUCCCAUCCAAACUUCCGGCAAAGCCCCCAAUGUAUAAAGCGGGAACAGCUGGUGUUGGGGGCGCCCUGUGUCUCCGUGGGCGUAGCCGGCUCCACCUCGCUGCGCUGGGCGGACGGACGUGCAGAGGGAGGGCGGGAGUCUUGCGGAUUUUAUGUCGUGCUGAGGACGAUAGAGAAGGUAGUCUGUUUACCAUUUAUGCAUCGAAGGAGGAUGCAGUCGGCAGUGCGGUCUGUCGGCUGUGUGGGGGCUGAAAUGCUCAAGUUUCCAAGCUCCAGCGCUUUGACCCCGUUUGGUUCUACAAAAACAGUUUGGGCGCAGUCACUUUAACAUCAGCCUUGCUUAUGUUAAGAUAAUUGUAAAGAUUGAGUCAGAUGAUGCCUCUGGAAAGCCUGAGGGUGUGAGUGCUCCGUGAAUGCUGACCUGGGCAUCGAAUGUGGAAGUGAUGACUCCUUGGAACAGGUGCAGCCUUUGGAUUCAUGAUCACCCGGGAGAGGUGUCGGAGGACAUUGACUUUUGCUUGUUAGGGAAGUGCGCUCUGUAGGAUGGUACUUUGCCCUUUCGCCCGGCUUUGUUUCCUCUUGUCCCGCACCUACGGGAGGAGAUGGUAUCUCUACGUUUCCUUUGGCAGCUGGGUUUAUGGAGAGGUUAGUUUGCGAGCUGGGGCAGCCGCUCCAUUCCACAUCUCUUGAUUUCCUCUCACGUUUAGCUGCAGCUGUUCACCGUGUCUGUUCCUGGCAUGACCUGAUCAGCCCUCUCUUGCUUUAUCACAAAUGCCAGCAUUCCUCAUGUCUUGCCUAGAGGGUCAUUUUGAGGCCAAAGACCUACCUGGAUUUUUUUUUUUUUUAAUUUAGUGAGAGUAUACUACAGUUCCAAUAAAAUAGUAUAUAGAAAUAAUGCCGAGAAAAAUGCCUAAAAUAUGGCAGAUACCCAAUAAUGAUUAAUGGAAGUAAAUUCGUUGAAUCUACAGUAAUUUUCUUUCUUACAACCAUUUUGUUUUUCUUUUGUCUUUUUAGGGCCGCACCUGAGGCCUAUGGAGGUUCCUGGGCUAGGGGUGUUGAAUCAGAGCUGUAGCUGCCAGUCUAUCCCAGAGGCACCGCCACACCAGAUCCGAGCUGCAUCUGUGACCUACACCUCAGCUUACAGCCGCUUAAUGCUGCUGCUCUUGUAACCAUGAUGCGAAGAGCAUAGGGGGCUCAUGGAAGAGUUGGUGGGACCAUAAACCCCACGAGGACAGUCAUGUAAAUUGAAGAACAUGCAUAGGUUGCUUGGAGACACUCCUCCAAGGCUCUCUUGGGCUUCUCCAUGUCUUGCUGGCCGUACCCAACAUGCUUUUCACCUGGGCCGUUUCUUAGGGUUGUGUUGGUUGAAGGAGGAGGCCCUGUCUCUCUGGGACAGGGAAGAGCCUCGCCUCCUGCUUGUUAGAAACCCACAGUGUCCCGAAGCACAGGUUGCAUAGCUGGGCCGUAAAUAUAAUAAUAUAUAACAUGAUAAUAUCUGGGCCCCUCGGUGCCACUGCCAUUGGACUCUGGGGUGAGGAGAACUGACAAAUAUUAUGCUAGUGCUGCCUGCUGUUCGGCAGAUAAUUCAGUCCUUGGUCUCUGACCCAGGAGUGUCAUGUCUUCUGCUGGGCAAGUAGGGGAAUAGCAAAUCCAGCAAGACGCAGGUGUACCCUGUCUAAGCCGAAGCCAUAGCCGCUAAAUGUGUUCAGGUGUGUCCUGUUCAGAACAUAAUUGCCUGGGCUUCACCUACAAAGAAUGUGGUUAGGAAGGUGGGAGUGGGCGACUCCUUGGAUUUUCUCAGAUUUUGAAGACCCACUGAGGCUUCCCGGGCUCUUUAUGGCUGUGCUGCUGGUCCGUGUGACUCCAGGGAACCAAGGGAGACCAAAGCAGUUUACCAAGAAUGGUUAUGUCCUGAGUUUAGGUAAGAUGGAGAACGGACACCUAUGACUGGCUGAUUUUGAGAGCCCUGAGCAAGAGGAUUCAGGAUUAUUGGUGGCAGAGGAAGCGAGCACAGAGUAGUGGGAGCUGCCUGGGCAGCCCCAAAACGCACACACUGGGCAGGGCACAGCGACUGUCAGAUGUCUGGCUCUGCAAGGAGAGAGAUGGGAAGUCCAGGCCAAGGCAGUGGACCAGAGCUGAGAAGGAGCAGGAACUGACCAUCCCAGCAGCCUGGCUCUGCUGAGUUGGACUGCGGAAGAGACUGGUCGUUGGCUUUUCAAUACUCGGGGAAUGAAUUGUUGACAAGCAGUCAGUUAACCAGCCUCUUGGAGAAUGACCCUGUCAGCACCUCCAGGCUGGUUUAGGCAAGUGAGAGAAGCGUUUAUAAUUAACAGUUGUGCCGCUGAUGAAAGCCAAGUAUGAACAUUUGUUCAGAGCAGUAAUUUGUGUAUGUGUGUUUUAAAAUAAAGCUGUAAAAGUGUGUUUACCAA
Molecule: non-coding RNA, 6357 nt
Organism: Sus scrofa (pig)
Lineage: Eukaryota; Metazoa; Chordata; Mammalia; Artiodactyla; Suidae
Source: RefSeq, a predicted model, not a curated record